GACGUAGGGGGCCAGCGUUGUCCGGAAUUACUGGGCGUAAAGCGCGCGUAGGCGGCUUGGUUAGCGGUGGGUGCAAUUCCGGGGCUCAACUCCGGGACUGCUCGCCGAACUGCCAGGCUAGAGUACGGGAGAGGGCAGUGGAAUUCCCGGUGUAGCGGUGGAAUGCGUAAAUAUCGGGAAGAACGCCAGUGGCGAAGGCUGCUGCCUGGAACGCUACUGACGCUAAGGCGCGAAAGCUAGGGGAGCAAACGGGAUUAGAUACCCGUGUA
RNAcentral lists this ribosomal RNA (269 nucleotides) under uncultured prokaryote. RNAcentral describes it as "partial 16S ribosomal RNA". It matches the Rfam family "Bacterial small subunit ribosomal RNA", at positions 524 to 792 of the family's 1533-position model. The record is from RNAcentral.